RNAcentral lists this unclassified non-coding RNA (244 nucleotides) under Hevea brasiliensis (rubber tree). The record is from RNAcentral. Lineage: Eukaryota; Viridiplantae; Streptophyta; Magnoliopsida; Malpighiales; Euphorbiaceae.
CCGGUGAUUGUCUGUGCCAAGGGCAUCGAGCGCGGCACGCAUCAGUUCAUGACGGAGAUCAUCGCGGAGGUUUUGCCUAGCGCCGUGCCCGCAAUUCUUUCGGGGCCAAGUUUCGAUGUCGAUGUCGCGNNNNNGACUGCCGUCACGCUUGCAACCGGCGACGAGCAGCUUGCGAAAGCACUGGUUCAGGCGCUCGGAUCGGCGACAUUCCGUCCCUAUCAUUCGACGGAUGUGCGCGGUGUCG